UACGGAAGGCAGCAGUGGGGAAUAUUGCACAAUGGGCGCAAGCCUGAUGCAGCCAUGCCGCGUGUAUGAAGAAGGCCUUCGGGUUGUAAAGUACUUUCAGCGGGGAGGAAGGCGAUGUGGUUAAUAACCGCGUCGAUUGACGUUACCCGCAGAAGAAGCACCGGCUAACUCCGUGCCAGCAGCCGCGGUAAUACGGAGGGUGCAAGCGUUAAUCGGAAUUACUGGGCGUAAAGCGCACGCAGGCGGUCUGUUAAGUCAGAUGUGAAAUCCCCGGGCUUAACCUGGGAACUGCAUUUUGAAACUGGCAGGCUUGAGUCUCGUAGAGGGGGUAGAAUUCCAGGUGUAGCGGUGAAAUGCGUAGAGAUCUGGAGGAAUACCGGUGGCGAAGGCGGCCCCUGGGACGAAGACUGACGCUCAGGUGCGAAAGCGUGGGGAGCAAACAGGAUUAGAUACC
This 454-nucleotide ribosomal RNA is filed under the name uncultured bacterium. Its description in RNAcentral is "bacterial SSU rRNA". It matches the Rfam family "Bacterial small subunit ribosomal RNA", at positions 340 to 786 of the family's 1533-position model. The record is from RNAcentral.